Passer domesticus (house sparrow) is the source of this 2561-nucleotide long non-coding RNA. RefSeq lists it as uncharacterized. Lineage: Eukaryota; Metazoa; Chordata; Aves; Passeriformes; Passeridae. The transcript has 3 exons. The record is from RefSeq and is a predicted model, not a curated record.
GGAAAUGCCAAGUCAGCAUGACUGGGCCUUAGCAACCCCUCUCUUCCACCUUUUGGACCCUGCUUAUCUCUCUCCCUUAAAGGUUCUCGGCAAAUUAAUUUGCCCUUUAAUGCACUUAACACCAAUAACGCUUACCAUCCAUGGGCUGUGUGCUGGUUGGAAAAAUCAUGGCUCUUUCCUUGUCCUCUGUUCACCCAAAGGAAGAUACUCUAAAAUCUCCUUUCCAGUUGCAAGGGAGAAAGAGAGAUGGCCCUCGAAGAAGACUCAUUUGACUUAGCAGCUAUCCUACAAAGCACAGCUUCUGCCCUCUGAAAUGACUACUUCUAGAGGCAAGAGAGAGACACCCACUAGAGGAUGCUUCAGACAAGAUGUUUAACAGUAAAAUAGCUAAAAGUUCAGCCUACUCCCAGCUAUUGCUUCAGGAUAUUUAUAAAAAACAUCCAAAAAACAUCAGCCGAUUAAACCUGGUGGCAAAUGUCUGGGUUCUCCACAGCUGCUGGCAGGUGCAGAGGAUGUCUGUGCAGUGCAGACCCUGACCCCUCAAUACUAUCAGAUAUGGAUGUGGUCUGGGAGCAAAAUUAGUAGCUGUAGACCUACCAGUUAUUGUCUUCUCCAUUUUAUUCCUCUAAAUUGCUCUAAGUACUCUGCUUGGAAUGCCACAGUAAUACAGAGCUUAUUACUGGGCCUUUAUUAAUCCCUUUUGGCAAUUCCUUUACUGCAUUUUCUACCUUAAGACAGGUAGAAGAAGCAACUGACAGCCAGUAAACUGUGGCAAUUUUCAGGGAGUCUGUGACUCCUGAAAUGAUCAUUGUCAGUUGGUUCAAAUUACAAAAAUCUUUAGGCUAUACUGCCAGUAUCUGGAUUUUCCAGGUUCUGAGAAAAAAAAAAAUCAAGGCUAUUUUCUUCUCUUCUCAUCAAAAAAAAAGGAAAAUUUAUCCCUGUAGGUUAGAUUAAGACAAAAAAAAGAAAAGCAAUAAAACAAAACCAAAUUUCUCAUUAUUUUUUUUCAUAUGAGAAAGACAUCAAAAUCAUAAUUAGUUAUGUUAGAAUCUUUUAGAUAUGGUCUCCAGGACUGUGGAGAAACAAACAGAGAUGUGUAUGGCAUCAUACAACUCACACCAAGGUCUCAGCUUGCUCCAAACACUAUCCCAUCAACCCUGAUUCACAAAGGCAGUCCAAUAGAUGGAGUCCUAAAAUAAUUUCUGAUUGUUCAGUAUUUCAUCUCAAGUUACAUUCUCUGAGAAAUAAGUUUUAAACUCAUAGCAGGGCUAUAACAUUACUGACACUAUGAAGAUAUGCUGGGAUGACUUCUAUGACUGUUGUGUUGGAAUGGAAGGAUACAGCUCUUUAGGAAGGACAGGUGGGGGUAAUAAGUGGAUGGAGCUGCCUUCUACAUCAAUGAGCAGCUGGAGGGCCUUGGGCUCCACAUGGGAAAGGAAGAGAUGAUUGAGAGUUUCUGAGUGAGGAUUGAAGGGAGAGCAGGGACAAGUGAUAUUGUAGGUGAGUCUGCUACAGGCUGUAGUCUGCCUGACCAGGAAGGCUGAGUGGAUGAGGACCUCUAUGGACAGGCAAGAGUGGCCCCACAUUCACAAGCCUGGUCCCCAUGGGGGACUUUAAAAUAGUUCUUGAAGGGACAACGCAGUGGGACAUAACUUUUCCAAGUGCUAGGGAAGCCUACAAGGAGAGCUGCUAUGCUGGACUGUUUUCUCACUAGCAUGGAGGGAGGGGGUGGUGGAGAAUGUGAAGAUCAAGGGCAGCCUGGGCUGCAGAGACUGAAAUAGCAAAGUCCAUCCUAAGAUACUCAGGAGAGCAGGGAGUUUGCAUAGCAAGCUCCCUACCUGGACUUUCAUGGAUGGCAAGAGUAACAAGAAAUGUUUCUCUGGGUACGUUGGUGACUAAGUGAAGACUAGGGAAAAUAGGUUCUGUCCAGAAGGAAAUGGGAAACUGAUUUACCUGGGAUAUAGAAAAGGCUGAAGUACUCAAAGUUUUUGCUUCAGUCUUCACUGGCAAAUGUUCCAGCCAUGCUGCCCAAGUCACAGAAGGUAAAAGCAGGGACUGGGAAAAUGAAGAACUUUCUACUGUAUAAGAUCAGAUCUGAAACCAUUUAAGAAGGCAUGCAAGUCCAUGAGACCUUAUGAGAUGCAUCCAUGAGUUCUGAGGGAAGAGGCAGAGAAGGUGGCUAAGAUACCACCCGCUAUACUUGAGAAGUUGUGGCAUUUCAGUAUAGAAAAAGGGCUUAUGUGAAAGAUGGAGAGAAACUUUUUACCGAGGUCUGUAGUGACAGGACAAGGGGCAACAGUUUUAUCCUAAAGAAGGUAGAUUUGGAUUGAACAUAAGGAAGAAAUUGCUCACUAUAAGGGUGAUGAGACACUGCACCAGGCUGCCAGGAGAAGUUGUGCAUGUCCCAUCUCUGGAAGCAUUCAAAACCAGUUUGGAUGGGGACCAGGCCAACUUGAUCUAGUGGGUGGCAUCCCUGCCCACGGCAGGGGGAUUGGAACUAUUGGAACCACAUGACCUUUAAUUUGCAUUCUAAUUCAAAUCAGUCUAUGAUUCUACAAUAA